CGAUAGCGUAUAUUAAAGUUGUUGCGGUAAAAAAGCUCGUAGUUGGAUUUCUACCGAAGAUAGCCGGUCGGGUCUUCGACCUUGUAUCUGGUUUUGUCUUUGGUAUCCUCAUAGGGAACGUUUCUGCGCUUUAUUGCGUGGUGCGGUAUCUAUGACUUUUACUUUGAGGAAAUUAGAGUGUUCACGGCAGGCAAACGCCUUGAAUAUAUUAGCAUGGAAUAAUAACAUAGGAUCUUCGUCCUAUUUUGUUGGUUUCUAGGGCUAAGAUAAUGAUUAAUAGGGAUAAUUGGGGGCAUCUGUAUCAACGCGUCAGAGGUGGAAUUCUUGGAUUGCGUUGCGACAAACUACUGCGAAAGCAUUUGCCAAGGAUGUUUUCAUUGA
This 381-nucleotide ribosomal RNA is filed under the name uncultured eukaryote. RNAcentral's name for it is "partial 18S ribosomal RNA". It matches the Rfam family "Eukaryotic small subunit ribosomal RNA", at positions 592 to 976 of the family's 1831-position model. The record is from RNAcentral.